UGCGGUUAAACAAAAGUUAAAUUAAAUUUUUUUAAGGUUUAAUAAUUGAAAUUAUUUAAAUAAAAUAAAUAUUAAAUUAUUAAGUGAAAUUUUAAUUUAUUUAAAAUUUAUUUAAUUUUUAAGAUAUUAAUAAAUUUUGUUUAAAACUAGGAUUAGAUACCCUAUUAUUAAAAUUUAAAUUUAAAAUCUUAAAAUAGUAUGUAUAUUAUAUAAUAUAUUUAUUUUAUAUUUAUAUUGAAACUUAAAUAAUUUGGCGGUAUUUUAGUUCAUUUAGAGGAAUCUGUUUAAUAAUUGAUAAUCCACGAAUAAAUUUACUUAAUUUAUUUAAUUUUGUAUAUCGUUGUUAUAAAAAUAUUUUUUAGUAAAAAUAAUAUUUUAGAUUUUAUAUUUAAAGUUAAAUCAGAUCAAGAUGCAGAUUAUAAUUAAGAAUAUUAAUGGAUUACAAUAAAUUUUAUUUUUGGAUAUUAACAUUGAAAGUUAGUUGAAAUUGGAUUUAAAUGUAAUUUUAUUUAUAUUUUUAAAAUGAUUAAAAAUUAAAAUAUGUACAUAUUGCCCGUCGCUUUCAUAUAUAAAUUGAAAUAAGUCGUAACAAAGUAGAGGUACUGGAAAGUGUUUCUAGAAAGA
RNAcentral lists this ribosomal RNA (624 nucleotides) under Neurosymploca caffra. RNAcentral describes it as "partial 12S ribosomal RNA". The record is from RNAcentral. Lineage: Eukaryota; Metazoa; Arthropoda; Insecta; Lepidoptera; Zygaenidae.